CUGUACCCUUCGUAUGCAAAGGUAUUGGUCCUGUUCUGCCGCUUGCACAACUUGCAAUACACAAUUCCGUGGUCCUGGUUCUGUACGCCCUCUAUCACCUGCCAGCCACAAUCCACACUCUCACUGCUGCACCUAAAGUGCUCCUUUGCGGUUUAUGAUAGCUUUCCAUGAUGCCUGCAUUAUUGCACAAAGUUGGAAAUGAGAUUGGAUUCCUUUGCAUGAUCUCAAUGCAUGCAACAGACCUGAGGCCAGAAGGUGCCGUCCGGCAGGCGGAAAGUCUCCUCUGUCUCCCACUUGCGCUUGGCAAACUCGAAAUAGUAUGUUGGCUUCUUUUUGUCUUCGCUGUCAGCCGCUGUGUUGCCCCCUGACGACCCGGGUUCGGCCCCUUGCUCUGGGGUUGCCUCUGGAUUUAAUAAAGGCGAUGGUGCCACAGGUGUGGCUGCAACUGGAGUGAGCUGCUGCUCUCCUGCUGGCUCGGCUGCCGGGAUCAGCGGCUGCGGUGCUGGGAUCUGCGGGAGUUCAGGUGGGUCUGCACAUGCAAGGACAUAUCAGCGUGAUCAUCAGCGUGAUCUUGCUCCCUUACAUUGCAGAGAUCUGAACACAACUUCUCCCAUGCUCUUGUAAUAACAAUGCAAUCCUAGGGAAGGAUUGACAAGCAAGAAGGGCCGGGCAGAAGCACAUGUGCGACCCGAAAACAUGAUGGGGCUCAAUGCAGGCAUGAUGCCCUAUGGCACCCAUCAGUUGUGGUCGAUGUGGAGUGACUGAAAGAGGAGUUGCUAUUACCUGCUACUGGAAGGGACUGGAUGAUGCCGCUGUCUGGCCACUGAGCAGGAGGGUGAGGCACUGGCUGGGGUGACUCUGUCCUGCAGGGUUGAACAGGGAGAAUUGUAUCACACCCAAGAUUUUCUGCACAAAUUGUAGGAGAAAGUAAGCUCAAAUCUCCUGUGUCGACGUCAUCGUGUGCUGUGGAGUCUCAGCCUGUCAUCAGAUGCAAUUCCCACGCAAUCAUGUCUCAUCUUCCUGUUUGAUGACAGAUGACUUCGUGCACGUUGCGUUGGAAAAUCCACGAGGUCCAUUUGUGCUUCAUAAAAGCUCACCUGGCCCUCUUCAGGUCCCUGA
This 1119-nucleotide long non-coding RNA is filed under the name Coccomyxa subellipsoidea. Its description in RNAcentral is "long non-coding RNA (CSUB_LNC000278)". The record is from RNAcentral. Lineage: Eukaryota; Viridiplantae; Chlorophyta; Trebouxiophyceae; Coccomyxaceae.